This 151-nucleotide small RNA is filed under the name Marmota monax (woodchuck). The record is from RNAcentral. Lineage: Eukaryota; Metazoa; Chordata; Mammalia; Rodentia; Sciuridae.
GAGAUCAGAUGAUGCAGACAAAAUCAGACCACUAAUGUGCACAACAGAUCUUCCACUUCUUUUUUUUAAAAAAAGAACUAUAUAUAUAUAUAUAUAUAUAUAUGUGUGUGUGUGUGUGUGUGUGUGUGUGUGUGUGUGUGUGUGUGUCUCA